GUGUUAUUAGGAGUUCCCUAAAAGCACUUCACACGAGGCCUUGGCUUAAGGGUUCUUGUGAAGUAUUUGGGGGAACUCUCGGUGUCAC
This 88-nucleotide microRNA precursor is filed under the name Dichanthelium oligosanthes. Its description in RNAcentral is "mir-395 microRNA precursor family". It matches the Rfam family "mir-395 microRNA precursor family". From Rfam's summary of the family: mir-395 was identified in both Arabidopsis thaliana and Oryza sativa computationally and was later experimentally verified. mir-395 is thought to target mRNAs coding for ATP sulphurylases. The mature sequence is excised from the 3' arm of the hairpin. The record is from Rfam by way of RNAcentral. Lineage: Eukaryota; Viridiplantae; Streptophyta; Magnoliopsida; Poales; Poaceae.